UACGUAGGGUGCGAGCGUUAAUCGGAAUUACUGGGCGUAAAGCGUGCGCAGGCGGUUCGUUGUGUCGGUGGUGAAAACCCCGGGCUUAACCUGGGAAUGGCCAUGGAAACUGGCGAGCUGGAGUGUGGCAGAGGGGGGUGGAAUUCCGCGUGUAGCAGUGAAAUGCGUAGAGAUGCGGAGGAACACCGAUGGCGAAGGCAGCCCCCUGGGCUAGCACUGACGCUCAGGCACGAAAGCGUGGGGAGCAAACAGG
RNAcentral lists this ribosomal RNA (253 nucleotides) under uncultured bacterium. RNAcentral's name for it is "partial 16S ribosomal RNA". It matches the Rfam family "Bacterial small subunit ribosomal RNA", at positions 524 to 776 of the family's 1533-position model. The record is from RNAcentral.